This 994-nucleotide ribosomal RNA is filed under the name Arthrobacter sp. R9. RNAcentral describes it as "bacterial SSU rRNA". It matches the Rfam family "Bacterial small subunit ribosomal RNA", at positions 25 to 1030 of the family's 1533-position model. The record is from RNAcentral. Lineage: Bacteria; Bacillati; Actinomycetota; Actinomycetes; Micrococcales; Micrococcaceae.
CAGGAUGAACGCUGGCGGCGUGCUUAACACAUGCAAGUCGAACGAUGAAGCCCAGCUUGCUGGGUGGAUUAGUGGCGAACGGGUGAGUAACACGUGAGUAACCUGCCCCCGACUCUGGGAUAAGCCCGGGAAACUGGGUCUAAUACCGGAUAUUACCUUUGACCGCAUGGUUGUUGGUGGAAAGAUUUAUCGGUGGGGGAUGGACUCGCGGCCUAUCAGCUUGUUGGUGAGGUAAUGGCUCACCAAGGCGACGACGGGUAGCCGGCCUGAGAGGGUGACCGGCCACACUGGGACUGAGACACGGCCCAGACUCCUACGGGAGGCAGCAGUGGGGAAUAUUGCACAAUGGGCGAAAGCCUGAUGCAGCGACGCCGCGUGAGGGAUGACGGCCUUUCGGGUUGUAAACCUCUUUCAGUAGGGAAGAAGCGAAAGUGACGGUACCUGCAGAAAAAGCGCCGGCUAACUACGUGCCAGCAGCCGCGGUAAUACGUAGGGCGCAAGCGUUAUCCGGAUUUAUUGGGCGUAAAGAGCUCGUAGGCGGUUUGUCGCGUCUGCCGUGAAAGUCCGAGGCUCAACCUCGGAUCUGCGGUGGGUACGGGCAGACUAGAGUGAUGUAGGGGAGACUGGAAUUCCUGGUGUAGCGGUGAAAUGCGCAGAUAUCAGGAGGAACACCGAUGGCGAAGGCAGGUCUCUGGGCAUUUACUGACGCUGAGGAGCGAAAGCAUGGGGAGCGAACAGGAUUAGAUACCCUGGUAGUCCAUGCCGUAAACGUUGGGCACUAGGUGUGGGGGACAUUCCACGUUUUCCGCGCCGUAGCUAACGCAUUAAGUGCCCCGCCUGGGGAGUACGGCCGCAAGGCUAAAACUCAAAGGAAUUGACGGGGGCCCGCACAAGCGGCGGAGCAUGCGGAUUAAUUCGAUGCAACGCGAAGAACCUUACCAAGGCUUGACAUGUGCCAGACCGCCUCAGAGAUGGGGUUUCCCUUCGGGGCUGG